RNAcentral lists this small nucleolar RNA (130 nucleotides) under Carlito syrichta (Philippine tarsier). RNAcentral describes it as "Small nucleolar RNA SNORA51 (ENSTSYG00000028681.1)". It matches the Rfam family "Small nucleolar RNA SNORA51". Rfam says of the family: ACA51 is a member of the H/ACA class of snoRNA that guide the sites of modification of uridines to pseudouridines. Lineage: Eukaryota; Metazoa; Chordata; Mammalia; Primates; Tarsiidae. The record is from Rfam by way of RNAcentral.
GGCCUCCUGGUGCUUACCACAGCUGUGUUCUUUUGCUGACCACAUAGAAAGAGGAGACAGAGCACAUCUACCCUAUAUACACCUUAGCUCAGGCCUUGUGCCUGGUCUGUAUUGUAAAUGGGGGACAUGG